RNAcentral lists this transfer RNA (72 nucleotides) under Bacteroidota bacterium. RNAcentral's name for it is "tRNA-Gly". It matches the Rfam family "tRNA". From Rfam's summary of the family: Transfer RNA (tRNA) molecules are approximately 80 nucleotides in length. Their secondary structure includes four short double-helical elements and three loops (D, anti-codon, and T loops). The record is from RNAcentral. Lineage: Bacteria; Pseudomonadati; Bacteroidota. RNAcentral also lists the same sequence under 3 other names.
GCGGGUGUAGUUCAGUGGUAGAACGAAUGCUUCCCAAGCAUUAUGUCGUGGGUUCGAGUCCCAUCACCCGCU